GGAUGUAUAGCUCAGUUGGUUAGAGCGCAGCACUGAUAAUGCUGAGGUCCCUGGUUCAAAUCCAGGUACAUCCACCA
This 77-nucleotide transfer RNA is filed under the name Candidatus Peregrinibacteria bacterium. RNAcentral describes it as "tRNA-Ile". It matches the Rfam family "tRNA". Rfam says of the family: Transfer RNA (tRNA) molecules are approximately 80 nucleotides in length. Their secondary structure includes four short double-helical elements and three loops (D, anti-codon, and T loops). The record is from RNAcentral. Lineage: Bacteria; Candidatus Peregrinibacteriota.